Molecule: ribosomal RNA, 431 nt
Filed under: uncultured bacterium
Lineage: Bacteria
Description: bacterial SSU rRNA
Rfam family: Bacterial small subunit ribosomal RNA
Source: RNAcentral
AGUGAACGCUGGCGGCGUGCUUAACACAUGCAAGUCGCACGAGAAAAGGCUUCGGCCCUAGUAAAGUGGCGCACGGGUGAGUAACACGUGAAUAACGUCCCUCCGGGUGGGGAAUAACGUUCCGAAAGGAGCGCUAAUACCGCAUAAGACCACGUCGCCGCGAGGUGAUGAGGCCAAAGCCGCAAGGCGCCUGGAGAUCGGUUCGCGUCCCAUUAGGUAGUUGGCGGGGUAAGAGCCCACCAAGCCUGAGAUGGGUAGCUGGUCUGAGAGGAUGAUCAGCCACAUUGGGACUGAGACACGGCCCAAACUCCUACGGGAGGCAGCAGUGGGGAAUCUUGCGCAAUGGGCGAAAGCCUGACGCAGCAACGCCGCGUGAGUGAUGAAGGCCCUCGGGUCGUAAAGCUCUGUCAGAAGGGAAGAAUAAAUGACGG